This 412-nucleotide ribosomal RNA is filed under the name uncultured bacterium. Its description in RNAcentral is "bacterial SSU rRNA". It matches the Rfam family "Bacterial small subunit ribosomal RNA", at positions 108 to 504 of the family's 1533-position model. The record is from RNAcentral.
GCGUAACGCGUGAGCAACAUGCCCGUAUCAGGGGGAUAAUCCAGGGAAACUUGGUCUAAUACCCCAUAGUAAUCUUAGGAGGCAUNUUUUAAGAUUUAAAGCUUUGGUGGAUACGGAUUGGCUCGCGUGACAUUAGCUAGAUGGUAGGGUAACGGCCUACCAUGGCUACGAUGUUCUAGGGGUUCUGAGAGGAAGAUCCCCCACACUGGAACUGAAGACACGGUUCCAGACUCCUACGGGAGGCAGCAGUNGAGGAAUAUUGGACAAUGGAUGGAAAUCUGAUCCAGCCAUGCCGCGUUGCANGGAAGACUGCCCUAUGGGUUGUAAACUGCUUUUUGUAUGGGAGCAAUAAGCCCUUNNNUUGAAGGGUGAUGAGAGGUUCCAUUACCGAAAUAAGCCAUCGGCUAACUUC